Molecule: ribosomal RNA, 253 nt
Filed under: uncultured bacterium
Lineage: Bacteria
Description: partial 16S ribosomal RNA
Rfam family: Bacterial small subunit ribosomal RNA
Source: RNAcentral
UACGUAGGGUGCGAGCGUUAAUCGGAAUUACUGGGCGUAAAGCGUGCGCAGGCGGUUUUGUAAGCCAGAUGUGAAAGCCCCGGGCUUAACCUGGGAAUGGCAUUUGGGACUGCAAGGCUUGAGUGCGGCAGAGGAGACUGGAAUUCCUGGUGUAGCAGUGAAAUGCGUAGAUAUCAGGAAGAACACCCGUGGCGAAGGCGGCUCUCUGGGACGGUACUGACGCUGAGACGCGAAAGCGUGGGGAGCGAACAGG